RNAcentral lists this long non-coding RNA (1470 nucleotides) under Ananas comosus (pineapple). RNAcentral describes it as "long non-coding RNA (ACOM_LNC010142)". Lineage: Eukaryota; Viridiplantae; Streptophyta; Magnoliopsida; Poales; Bromeliaceae. The record is from RNAcentral.
AGGGCGGCUCGGGGCAGAGGCGGCCGACUGCCCAAGGUCGGGGAGGUGCCACAGGGGCGGCCCAGGGCGGCGGCGACGCGAGGAAGAGGUCGCAAGUGGGUCACGGCCAGGGCUCAGCCUGGGCUGGCAGAUGCGGCCCGGGGUGGCAGCGGCGGCGCAAGCGACGGCAGCGGUCGGCGGGGAAGGUCGCCGGAGCACGGGGUGACACCGAGGGAGGGUCUGGAGGUGGCGCAGCGCAGAGCCUCCACCCAACCCGAGAGGAGAGAGGGAGAGAGAAAGAAGUGGUGGCUGCGGCGGCGGUUGGCCGGCCGGGCUCAGUCGGCGGCGGCCUGGGCGCGCGCAGCAGGUGCAGGGGAAGGAGAGGGAGGCGGCUGGGGGCUAGGGCAAGGCUAGGGUUAGGGUUUCCAAUGCAAAACCCUAGAAAGCUAUAAAUACUAAGGUGUAACUUUGCAAAAAGGUCCACCAAACACAGGAAUUUCAAUCCGAGAUCCUCACAGUACGACUAAAACGCAUGAACGCCCCUCCACGUGCGAUCCCUCGCGAAACGAUACAUAAAAUAUCGCGACUUUUGCGAAAAUACCGUUUUGCCACUACCGACCUCUCCUCGAUCAACGCGCGAUCUCCGCAGAUCCGUCCGUCAGAUUUGCGAACGGAUUGCACCAGUGCGAUCAGCACGACGGAGACAACAAAGCUACGGUUUCGUUUCGUCUUGAUCGACCACGGAUUCACGACAAAAUCCAACCUUCUUCGAAUAGAAGGAAACACACACAAAAAUACAUAUAAAACAUGUAUUUUUGGAUUUUCUCGAAAUCCGUGUGUCAAACUCAAAAUCCGUCAGCGCCAUUAGUUCCAGAAUAGCUGACCCGGUCGAAACGAGCUAUUGGAUUGCUAUAGACAGAGUCCGGUACGAGCCAGAAGCCAACUUCCCACCGUGGCUUCUCCGGAAAAUCGAGUUACUAUUCACUUUAAGUGAAACUUGGAAAUCGCGCAGAAUUUCCGUUUUAACUCGUUUUCACCCGAAACUUGACGAGUGCUUUUGUAAUUAAAUUACACACAAAAACAUCGUCAACUGAGAGUUUAGCUACACUGCAAAAAUCUCAGUCCUUACACACAUAAAACUCCUUUUGUAUGCUUUCUCUGAAGUGCCUAGCUGAAUUCCGAAAUGCCUAGCAGUAUUCUGAAAUCGGAAUUCAUAAUUCUAAAUUGUAUCGAUUAACCCAAACAUUUUUAGAUUUGCCAAUCUUUGCUUUGGUCAACUGGUGAUUCUUCUAUACAUACCAGUUUUUGCCGGAAUCUAACUGGUCCAUCCAUUUUUUUUAGGGCCUUCUUUGCAUACUUGAGAACUUUGGCAAUUUUUUUUUAUAAUGUAAUGCAAUUAUGGCAAUUUGUGUUGCUGUUUAUUGUUUCUAACCUGCACCACAGUUCUAUCGGCUCCUUUAAUGUUGCCUUGGAACAAGUAGAAGUUUGGAU